This 252-nucleotide ribosomal RNA is filed under the name uncultured bacterium. Its description in RNAcentral is "partial 16S ribosomal RNA". It matches the Rfam family "Bacterial small subunit ribosomal RNA", at positions 525 to 776 of the family's 1533-position model. The record is from RNAcentral.
ACGUAGGUUCCGAGCGUUAUCCGGAUUUACUGGGCGUAAAGCGCGUUCAGGCGGUUUGGCAAGUCGGGCAUGAAAUCUCUCGGCUCAACCGGGAGAGGUUGUCCGAUACUGCUGGACUUGAGGGCAGUAGAGGGUGGUGGAAUUCCGGGUGUAGUGGUGAAAUGCGUAGAUAUCCGGAGGAACACCAGUGGCGAAAGCGGCCACCUGGACUGCACCUGACGCUGACACGCGAAAGCUAGGGGAGCGAACGGG